This 217-nucleotide ribosomal RNA is filed under the name uncultured bacterium. RNAcentral describes it as "partial 16S ribosomal RNA". It matches the Rfam family "Bacterial small subunit ribosomal RNA", at positions 328 to 539 of the family's 1533-position model. The record is from RNAcentral.
ACGCUCGACACCUACGGAGGCAGCAGUGAGGAAUAUUGGUCAAUGGGCGCUAGCCUGAACCAGCCAAGUAGCGUGAAGGAUGAAGGCUCUAUGGGUCGUAAACUUCUUUUAUAUAAGAAUAAAGUGCAGUAUGUAUACUGUUUUGUAUGUAUUAUAUGAAUAAGGAUCGGCUAACUCCGUGUCAGCAGCCGCGGUAAUCUGAGCGGGCUGGCAAGGC